GUAGUCCACGCCCUAAACGAUGGAUACUCGACAUACGCGAUACACUGUGUGUGUCUGAGCGAAAGCAUUAAGUAUCCCACCUGGGAAGUACGUUCGCAAGAAUGAAACUCAAAGGAAUUGGCGGGGGUCCGCACAAGCGGUGGAGUAUGUGGUUUAAUUCGAUGAUACGCGAGGAACCUUACCUGGGCUAGAAUGCUGGGAGACCGUGGGUGAAAGCUCACUUUGUAGCAAUACACUGCCAGUAAGGUGCCGCAUGGCUGUCGUCAGCUCGUGCCGUGAGGUGUUGGGUUAAGUCCCGCAACGAGCGCAACCCCUAUCUUUAGUUGCCAACAGGUAAUGCUGGGAACUCUAAAGAAACUGCCGCCGUAAGGUGUGAGGAAGGAGGGGAUGAUGUCAAGUCAUCAUGGCCUUUAUGCCCAGGGCUACACACGUACUACAAUGGGGAGGACAAAGGGCUGCAACAUAGCGAUAUGAAGCCAAUCCCAAAAACCUCCUCUCAGUUCAGAUUGCAGGCUGCAACUCGCCUGCAUGAAACUGGAAUCGCUAGUAAUCGUAUAUCAGCAAUGAUACGGUGAAUACGUUCCCGGACCUUGCACACACCGCCCGUCAAGCCAUGGGAGUCGGGUGUACCUAAAGUCGGUAACCGAAAGGAGCUGCCUAGGGUAAAAUCGAUGACUGGGGCUAAGUCGUAACAAGGUA
RNAcentral lists this ribosomal RNA (699 nucleotides) under uncultured Bacteroidota bacterium. RNAcentral's name for it is "bacterial SSU rRNA". It matches the Rfam family "Bacterial small subunit ribosomal RNA", at positions 790 to 1498 of the family's 1533-position model. The record is from RNAcentral. Lineage: Bacteria; Pseudomonadati; Bacteroidota.